AGGGGCGUAGCUCAGUCUGGCAGAGCACGGGUCUCCAAAACCCGGUGUCGGGGGUUCGAAUCCCUCCGCCCCUG
Molecule: transfer RNA, 74 nt
Filed under: bacterium
Lineage: Bacteria
Description: tRNA-Trp
Rfam family: tRNA
About the family: Transfer RNA (tRNA) molecules are approximately 80 nucleotides in length. Their secondary structure includes four short double-helical elements and three loops (D, anti-codon, and T loops). Further hydrogen bonds mediate the characteristic L-shaped molecular structure. tRNAs have two regions of fundamental functional importance: the anti-codon, which is responsible for specific mRNA codon recognition, and the 3' end, to which the tRNAs corresponding amino acid is attached (by aminoacyl-tRNA synthetases). tRNAs cope with the degeneracy of the genetic code in two manners: having more than one tRNA (with a specific anti-codon) for a particular amino acid; and 'wobble' base-pairing, i.e. permitting non-standard base-pairing at the 3rd anti-codon position.
Source: RNAcentral